GAAAAGAUAAGCCACAGACGGAGUUUUCCCGGGACCCACAAACAAGCUUUGUAUAGCCUCUGAUUAGCCAGCCUUUCUGGUUACAAUAAAAGAAGAUGGCUUCCCAGUCUCCUUUUCCUGCUCCUGGGCCAUGAAAACCCGACAUUUUUGGAAGGAGGGGGUCUCACACAAGAACCUAGAGUGCUAGAGAAAAAUUAUCCCACCCCUCCCCCCACAGUUUUGGCAACCCAGAUGGGACCCACUGAGAUACACUACUUGCUUCAGAGCCUGCAGAUGGAAU
Molecule: long non-coding RNA, 280 nt
Organism: Mesoplodon densirostris (Blainville's beaked whale)
Lineage: Eukaryota; Metazoa; Chordata; Mammalia; Artiodactyla; Ziphiidae
Exons: 3
Source: RefSeq, a predicted model, not a curated record